AGUGAACGCUGGCGGUAGGCCUAACACAUGCAAGUCGAACGGCAGCACAGUAAGAGCUUGCUCUUACGGGUGGCGAGUGGCGGACGGGUGCGGAAUACAUCGGAAUCUACUUUUUCGUGGGGGAUAACGUAGGGAAACUUACGCUAAUACCGCAUACGACCUACGGGUGAAAGCAGGGGAUCUUCGGACCUUGCGCGAUUGAAUGAGCCGAUGUCGGCUUAGCUAGUUGGCGGGGUAAAGGCCCACCAAGGCGACGAUCCGUAGCUGGUCUGAGAGGAUGAUCAGCCACACUGGAACUGAGACACGGUCCAGACUCCUACGGGAGGCAGCAGUGGGGAAUAUUGGACAAUGGGCGCAAGCCUGAUCCAGCCAUACCGCGUGGGUGAAGAAGGCCUUCGGGUUGUAAAGCCCUUUUGUUGGGAAAGAAAAGCAGCAGGUUAAUACCCCGCUGUUCUGACGGUACCCAAAGAAUAAGCACCGGCUAACUUCGUG
Molecule: ribosomal RNA, 492 nt
Filed under: uncultured bacterium
Lineage: Bacteria
Description: partial 16S ribosomal RNA
Rfam family: Bacterial small subunit ribosomal RNA
Source: RNAcentral